GUACUAUUAGCUCAGUUGGUAGAGCAGCAGACUCUUAAUCUGAUGGUCCCGGGUUCGACCCCCGGAUGGUGCA
This 73-nucleotide transfer RNA is filed under the name Clostridiales bacterium GWD2_32_19. RNAcentral describes it as "tRNA-Lys". It matches the Rfam family "tRNA". Rfam says of the family: Transfer RNA (tRNA) molecules are approximately 80 nucleotides in length. Their secondary structure includes four short double-helical elements and three loops (D, anti-codon, and T loops). Further hydrogen bonds mediate the characteristic L-shaped molecular structure. tRNAs have two regions of fundamental functional importance: the anti-codon, which is responsible for specific mRNA codon recognition, and the 3' end, to which the tRNAs corresponding amino acid is attached (by aminoacyl-tRNA synthetases). tRNAs cope with the degeneracy of the genetic code in two manners: having more than one tRNA (with a specific anti-codon) for a particular amino acid; and 'wobble' base-pairing, i.e. permitting non-standard base-pairing at the 3rd anti-codon position. Lineage: Bacteria; Bacillati; Bacillota; Clostridia; Eubacteriales. The record is from RNAcentral. RNAcentral also lists the same sequence under 1 other name.